CAAAAACAUGGCCUUUUGAUUAUAAUUUAAGGUCUGGCCUGCCCAAUGAUUUAUUAAAUGGCCGCGGUAUACUGACCGUGCAAAGGUAGCAUAAUCACUAGUUUUUUAAUUGGAAGCUUGAAUGAAAGGUUGGAUGAAGAAACUACUGUCUCAAUUAAAAUUUAUUAGAAUUUUAUUAUUUUGUAAAAAGGCAAAAAUUUAUAUAAAAGACGAGAAGACCCUAUAGAGUUUUAUAGUUUUAAGAGAAAGGGUAAUUAGAAUAUAUUUUUUUAUUUUUUAAAAUUAUUUGGUUGGGGUGAUUGAAAAAUUUAAUUAACUUUUUUUGUAUAAAUACAUAGAUUUAUGAAUAUUUGAUCCUUUAAAAAGAUUAAAAGAAAAAAUUACCUUAGGGAUAACAGCGUUAUUUU
This 407-nucleotide ribosomal RNA is filed under the name Euwallacea sp. 4 KO-2014. RNAcentral describes it as "partial 16S ribosomal RNA". The stretch from base 1 to 196 matches the Rfam family "Archaeal large subunit ribosomal RNA", at positions 1900 to 2143 of the family's 2987-position model. The record is from RNAcentral. Lineage: Eukaryota; Metazoa; Arthropoda; Insecta; Coleoptera; Curculionidae.